GUGAAUCAUCAAAUCUUUGAACGCAUAUUGCACUCUCUGGUAUUCCGGAGAGUAUGCCUACUUGAGGGUCGUUUAAAAUAAUAUAAAUUCCAAGAUUUCUCGGAAUUUAAAAUGGGAGGUCCAUUUUUUGUGGUCUCCUAAAAUCCAAGACAAGCUCAUUUUCUUGGGUUGCGUGAUACUUUCAGUUAACACGUGACUGAACAAGGAAUCAUCGGGCGUGUUAUGAC
Molecule: unclassified non-coding RNA, 227 nt
Filed under: Ambisporaceae sp.
Lineage: Eukaryota; Fungi; Glomeromycota; Glomeromycetes; Archaeosporales; Ambisporaceae
Description: partial contains 5.8S ribosomal RNA and internal transcribed spacer 2
Rfam family: 5.8S ribosomal RNA (bases 1-71)
Source: RNAcentral